This 390-nucleotide ribosomal RNA is filed under the name uncultured bacterium. RNAcentral's name for it is "bacterial SSU rRNA". It matches the Rfam family "Bacterial small subunit ribosomal RNA", at positions 618 to 1009 of the family's 1533-position model. The record is from RNAcentral.
GAAUUGCCUUUGAUACUGCAUAUCUUGAGUCUGGUUGAGGUAGGCGGAAUGUAGUAUGUAGCGGUGAAAUGCAUAGAUAUACUACAGAACACCCAUUGCGAAGGCAGCUUACCAAACCAGCACUGACGCUCAGGCACGAAAGCGUGGGGAGCAAACAGGAUUAGAUACCCUGGUAGUCCACGCCGUAAACGUUGAUCACUCGUUGUUGGCAAUACACCGUCAGCGACUAAGCAAAAGCAUUAAGUGAUCCACCUGGGGAGUACGAUCGCAAGGUUGAAACUCAAAGGAAUUGACGGGGGCCCGCACAAGCGGAGGAGCAUGUGGUUUAAUUCGAUGAUACGCGAGGAACCUUACCCGGGCUUACAUGUACGGUGCAUUGGUGUGAAAACA